UUUUAUCCACCACCAUGUACUCUGCAGAGCAGUAGUGAAGAGUGACGGACAGAGGGGAGGCAGGGCGGGUGGCCAGUAGGAUGACCUGCGGUGGGGCACUGUUUCUGGUCGAAAGGGAGCGUUCGUGGUGGACUGCUGAGACGACCUGGGAAUAUCCUGGUGCCUGUAGGGACAGAAGGCCUGAUUAGCCGAAAUGGAUUGAAAAUGCUGUUGGCCAGGGGGCCACCGCCAUAGAAGCUCUAGAACACUCCAAGGAUUCCUGCGCAGGCGCAGUUUACCUCCCAGCAGUGUAAUUCACAGAGACCACGUUGAAGAACUUAUCCUUUGAACUUGAAGAGCUGCUCUCAUGUACUGUCUCCCCUCAAAAUAUUUUUCCUUUAAAAAGGUCUUUAAAAAUCUCUGAAG
Pogona vitticeps (central bearded dragon) is the source of this 405-nucleotide non-coding RNA. The record is from RefSeq and is a predicted model, not a curated record. NCBI's taxonomy places the organism in Eukaryota, Metazoa, Chordata, Lepidosauria, Squamata, Agamidae.